RNAcentral lists this transfer RNA (71 nucleotides) under Danio rerio (zebrafish). It matches the Rfam family "tRNA". Rfam says of the family: Transfer RNA (tRNA) molecules are approximately 80 nucleotides in length. Their secondary structure includes four short double-helical elements and three loops (D, anti-codon, and T loops). Lineage: Eukaryota; Metazoa; Chordata; Actinopteri; Cypriniformes; Danionidae. The record is from Rfam by way of RNAcentral.
GCAUUGGUGGUUCAGUGGUAGAAUUCUUGCCUCCCACGUGUGAGUCCUGUGUCCGAACCCUGGCCAAUGCA